UACGAAGGGGGCUAGCGUUGCUCGGAAUCACUGGGCGUAAAGCGCACGUAGGCGGCCUCUUAAGUCGGGGGUGAAAUCCUGGAGCUCAACUCCGGAACUGCCUUCGAUACUGCGAGUCUCGAGUCCGGGAGAGGUGAGUGGAACUGCGAGUGUAGAGGUGAAAUUCGUAGAUAUUCGCAAGAACACCAGUGGCGAAGGCGGCCCACUGGCCCGGUACUGACGCUGAGGUGCGAAAGCGUGGGGAGCAAACAGG
Molecule: ribosomal RNA, 253 nt
Filed under: uncultured bacterium
Lineage: Bacteria
Description: partial 16S ribosomal RNA
Rfam family: Bacterial small subunit ribosomal RNA
Source: RNAcentral